RNAcentral lists this ribosomal RNA (641 nucleotides) under Actinomadura sp. YIM 76966. RNAcentral describes it as "bacterial SSU rRNA". It matches the Rfam family "Bacterial small subunit ribosomal RNA", at positions 93 to 739 of the family's 1533-position model. The record is from RNAcentral. Lineage: Bacteria; Bacillati; Actinomycetota; Actinomycetes; Streptosporangiales; Thermomonosporaceae.
GAGCGGCGAACGGGUGAGUAACACGUGAGCAACCUGCCCUCGACUCUGGGAUAAGCCUGGGAAACCGGGUCUAAUACCGGAUACGACCCAUCAUCGCAUGGUGUGUGGGUGGAAAGAUUGAUUUCGGUCGGGGAUGGGCUCGCGGCCUAUCAGCUUGUUGGUGGGGUGACGGCCUACCAAGGCGACGACGGGUAACCGGCCUGAGAGGGCGACCGGUCACACUGGGACUGAGACACGGCCCAGACUCCUACGGGAGGCAGCAGUGGGGAAUAUUGCGCAAUGGGCGGAAGCCUGACGCAGCGACGCCGCGUGGGGGAUGACGGCCUUCGGGUUGUAAACCUCUUUCAGCGGGGACGAAGCCUCUUUUGGGGUGACGGUACCUGCAGAAGAAGCGCCGGCUAACUACGUGCCAGCAGCCGCGGUAAUACGUAGGGCGCGAGCGUUGUCCGGAAUUAUUGGGCGUAAAGAGCUCGUAGGCGGUUUGUCGCGUCGGAUGUGAAAGCCCACGGCUUAACUGUGGGUCUGCAUUCGAUACGGGCAGACUAGAGGCAGGUAGGGGAGCAUGGAAUUCCCGGUGUAGCGGUGAAAUGCGCAGAUAUCGGGAGGAACACCGGUGGCGAAGGCGGUGCUCUGGGCCUUGC